UGCUUUGUAAGCUCAGCAGACAGGCCCCAGCUGCAGGUCUGCAGUUCUCAUUAAGGGCGUACCUGUGGUCGGAGGUUUAAACUUACACUUGAAGUUAAGCUUGUGCUAAGGGCAUGGCAGCAUAUCUGGCAUGUGAGUGACUGUGCUGGAUAUCAAGGAAGGAAAAUGUGGCAGCACCCAACAGAGUAACUAAAACUGGGUGAGAGAAAGGAGUAAGAGGGCCCUUGGUGGCACCUGGGUCCCUUUCCCUCACACAGGAGGGAAUUUGGGGCCUCGCCUCUCUGUGUGAUUAAAUGCAGCUGUGCUUUUUGCCUCUUUUGUCUUCAGCAUCUCCUGGUCAAACCCACCACAGUAAAAGUGUGGGCAGGGGUUUUCUUCCGGGCAAACUGCCACAUGCAGACCCAGAGGCCCCAUAGAAACAGGCUCUAUCCAACUGCAGCUUUUGGAUCCAGUCAGCAAUUAUUUGUCUUCUCAAAUUAAGUUGUUGCAACUCCUGCCCUAAUGACAGGAAUGCUUGUGUGUGAACGUGCAGGUCUAAGAUACAAAAACCAUCAAGCAAUAAUAACAAGCAAAUGCAGCUGUCCUAACCAUCUAACUGAAAAGAUGCUCCUUACCUCCUUCCACAGUGGCUUUCCAAUUUUGACAUAGUCCUCAUUUAUGUCACAGGCAACAACUCUUCCAUUAUCUGGCAGGACAAGUGCCAUAUUCAAGGUAUUAUAUCCUGUGAAAACACCUAGGAAGAAAAUGACAGAAGUCAUCAAAAAUUACUGUUUUGAAAAAUUUAUAAAUAGUAAAUCAGAGGACUCCCACCUGGAAUGAUAAUAAAACCAAUAAUAAUAAUAAUAAAAAGUAAAACCAGCAGAGACCCAGAAGGGUUGAAGAUGGCAAUUUGUUAAUGGACUCAAAAGGCUUUCUAUUUCAUUCCAAUGUUACAGGGGUUGGUAAGAUAUUUUUUCCUCCUCUUCAAUCAAUCUUUAAGUUGCAUGUGUGUUUUUUUUAUUUGUUUGUUUGUCCUCCUCCCCUCCCCCCCAAAAAAAUUCUCCAGGACACAGAGGGCAGGAUCUGGUCCUGCACCUGAGGAACACACUCACUUAAAAGUGGAGCUAAAUCCUGAGCUAAAAGGACUGGAUCUGUCCAGGAGCAAAAUACCAGGGCAUCAUAAGGAGAGGCCAAAGAUAAAGAUGGUGGGAACCCAUACCUGGCUGCUCAGCAUCACUCUGGCUUUGGGACAUCCUCCUAACAUAGGCAUUUCCGAGAAAGUGGAUUGGAUUCAGGGCCUGUGCAGCAAACCAAUUCCUUUUGGCAAGAAACUGAUACAGAAAAGAAGGAAUACACCCUGCCCUGCAAUUGCUGGCCAGCACUGGAGACCCAAGUGAUCUAUUGGUCCUAAUUUUUCAGGUUGCUUCUGAGUUGAUGAGACAUCCCUGCUGCUGCUAAAAUUACUGAAUGCACAAGUAGACAAACGGGCAAGAAAGUGCAAAUCAGAUGCUACUAUCACACUGCAGUUCACCCACAUGAUUGCUGAGACAGAGAUGCAGUACUUUACUAUACUGGGAAAUCUUACCUUACAUAAACAUGGCUGGAUUUGGAGAAGCACAGCCAGGAGAUUUAUUUAUCUACAGAGAAGAUGAAGUGACGGUCUUACCUAUUUCUAUAACUUUCUUGGCUUUAAUGAGUUUGACCAAAUUUGCCAUAAGCUGAGCCUGGUCACAGGACACCAUCAUUCUACCCCAGGGAUGAUCUGUAGUGAGCUGAAGAGAGGAAAUAACACAAUGAAACAAUAACAAUACUAAGAACAACAACAAAACCCAAAGCUUCCAAAAUUAUGUCCUAAGGCAGAAAAAUCCCAGGAAAAACAGAGAUGCUCUUACCUUUCUUAUUCUAGAUGGCUUUGUGCUCCAUGUAUGAGACAGAAAUUUGUUUUGAAUUUAACAGUAACUGAGGUGGGAAGGGGCGAAGUCAUAAGCAGUUGAUAAUCAUGCAAAACAGUGGUAUGAUCCAAAGUUACCCCGUGGCUGUAGCAAACUCAGCAAUAAAGUUGUAAUGGAUGAA
Molecule: long non-coding RNA, 2052 nt
Organism: Cygnus olor (mute swan)
Lineage: Eukaryota; Metazoa; Chordata; Aves; Anseriformes; Anatidae
Exons: 2
Source: RefSeq, a predicted model, not a curated record